ACAAACGACUCUCGGCAACGGAUAUCUCGGCUCACGCAUCGAUGAAGAACGUAGCAAAAUGCGAUACUUGGUGUGAAUUGCAGAAUCCCGUGAACCAUCGAGUUUUUGAACGCAAGUUGCGCCCGAAGCCUUUCGGCCGAGGGCACGUCUGCCUGGGCGUCACG
Molecule: ribosomal RNA, 164 nt
Filed under: Echinops cyanocephalus
Lineage: Eukaryota; Viridiplantae; Streptophyta; Magnoliopsida; Asterales; Asteraceae
Also listed under: 1 other name
Description: 5.8S ribosomal RNA
Rfam family: 5.8S ribosomal RNA
About the family: 5.8S ribosomal RNA (5.8S rRNA) is a component of the large subunit of the eukaryotic ribosome. It is transcribed by RNA polymerase I as part of the 45S precursor that also contains 18S and 28S rRNA.
Source: RNAcentral